AUGGUUUUUCUGCUGGACAUGAGGCUCAGAACCAGAUGUCGGCGUGCUAUGUAUGUGUGCCUCCAGGAAGAAGAUACGGGCAAUACAACGUGCAGCUCAUGCCUCGGCUAUGAACGCGACGACGCGGUCCAUGAGCCGCUUGGCGUUGUCGCAAUGGAGCUUCCCAAGGAAGAACACGUGGCCCUCCCCCUCCAGCUCCAGCCAAGCCGCCCUCCCGCGCCACCCGCUCGCGGCCACGGCCUCGUAGUACGCGCGGUUGCGCGCGGCCAGCCCGUCCUCGAGCCCCGUGGUCACCAGCAUCCUCGCGCACGCGAGCCUCUCCAGCGCCGGCGACGCCAGCGGGUUCAUCCUCGGGUCGUCCGCGCCGCCCACCGCCGACCCGCGGCACGCGUAGGACCAGAGGAGCCCGGUCACCCUGGCCGCGGCCGGGGGCUCCCCCUCGAUCGCCGUGUUCCCGCUGAACCACGGGUGCAGCAGUACCGCGCCCUCGAUCCUCGGUCCGCCGUCCCUCACGAGCAUCUCGUGCGCGAUGUUGGCGCCGGCGCUGUCCCCCGCGACGAACAGCUUAGAGGCGUCGCCGUGGUCGGCGAUCCAGCCGUCCUGCGCCGAGGCAGCCCACCGGAGCGCGGCCCAGGAGUCGUCGUAGGCGGCGGGGAGCGGGUGCUCCGGGGCGAGGCGGUAGUCGACGGACACCGCGAGGACGCCGGCCGCGGCGGCGAGCGCGUUGAGGUAGUUGUGGUACGUGGGGUCGCGGGCCGACCCGAUGAGGAAGGCGCCGCCGUGGAAGUAGACGACGACCGGGAGCUUCGUGGAGGCGUCCUGGAGCUUGUUGGGGAGGUAGAGGCGCACGGAGAGGCCCGUGCCCGCGUCGAGGACGACGUCCUUGGAGGUGACGCCGGUGGCCUCGUCGACGCCGGCGGGCAGGAUGGUGGGGUCGUUGAGGCGGUCUAUCUUCCCGCUCCUGUAGACGCGGAAGCUCCCCGGCGCCUCUAG
This 993-nucleotide ribosomal RNA is filed under the name Triticum aestivum (bread wheat). RNAcentral's name for it is "partial small subunit ribosomal RNA". The record is from RNAcentral. Lineage: Eukaryota; Viridiplantae; Streptophyta; Magnoliopsida; Poales; Poaceae.